AAUGCAAGUCGAGCGGAAUGAUGAAGAAGCUUGCUUCUUCUGAUUUUAGCGGCGACGGGUGAGUAACACGUGGGCAACCUACCUUGUAGAUUGGGAUAACUCCGGGAAACCGGGGCUAAUACCGAAUAAUCCAUUUUGCUUCAUGCGAGAUGUUNUAAAGACGGUUUCGGCUGUCACUAUAAGAUGGGCCCGCGGCGCAUUAGCUAGUUGGUAGGGUAAUGGCCUACCAAGGCGACGAUGCGUAGCCGACCUGAGAGGGUGAUCGGCCACACUGGGACUGAGACACGGCCCAGACUCCUACGGGAGGCAGCAGUAGGGAAUCUUCCACAAUGGACGAAAGUCUGAUGGAGCAACGCCGCGUGAGUGAAGAAGGUUUUUCGGAUCGUAAAACUCUGUUGUAAGGGAAGAACACGUACGAGAGUAACUGCUCGUACCUUGACGGUACCUUAUUAGAAAGCCACGGCUAACUACGUG
Molecule: ribosomal RNA, 474 nt
Filed under: uncultured bacterium
Lineage: Bacteria
Description: bacterial SSU rRNA
Rfam family: Bacterial small subunit ribosomal RNA
Source: RNAcentral